CCCCUCGAGCCAGCACGUAGUAGCGGGCGCCCUUGAAGAGGACAAGGCGGCGCAGAGGCGAGAAGAAGAGAGCUGCGUCCGGGUGACGGGGCAGACCUCUAGCACGGCACAGCUAAACACAAUGGGAUGGACAGCAUGCUGACACCUGGGACACCUUGACCCCAGAGCUGACUGUGGAUGAAUACGGUCAUUCAGAACAGGGCAGUCAGGAGGGAUGGACAAGUGAAUGCAGCAGGAACGGCCUAGCACAUGCUUGGGAACAGCCACCCUGCAGCUGCCCACAAGUUCCUUAGCCAUCAACUAAGAAAUGAAAGCAAAUUCUGGAUAUUCAAUCAUGUGUUCAGUGAGUGAGGUGCUAUGAACAAAAUAAAACUCAUCGACAGAUCACAUCUUGGUUGAAUAAGUGUUAUGAAAAGUCUCAAUUCUUAUGGAAAUAACUUCAAUAAAAUAUGAACAAGAACCAUUGA
Non-coding RNA from Myodes glareolus (Bank vole), 467 nucleotides. NCBI's taxonomy places the organism in Eukaryota, Metazoa, Chordata, Mammalia, Rodentia, Cricetidae. The record is from RefSeq and is a predicted model, not a curated record.